GAACGCUGGCGGCAUGCCUAACACAUGCAAGUCGAGCGGAUGAGUGGAGCUUGCUCCAUGAUUCAGCGGCGGACGGGUGAGUAAUGCCUAGGAAUCUGCCUGGUAGUGGGGGACAACGUUUCGAAAGGAACGCUAAUACCGCAUACGUCCUACGGGAGAAAGCAGGGGGACCUUCGGGCCUUGCGCUAUCAGAUGAGCCUAGGUCGGAUUAGCUAGUAGGUGAGGUAAUGGCUCACCUAGGCGAUGAUCCGUAACUGGUCUGAGAGGACGACCAGCCACACUGGGACUGAGACACGGCCCAGACUCCUACGGGAGGCAGCAGUGAGGAAUAUUGGACAAUGGGCGCAAGCCUGAUCCAGCCAUGCCGCGUGCAGGAAGAAGCAUCUAUGGUGUGUAAACUGCUUUUGUACGGGAAGAAACACUCCUACGUGUAGGAGCUUGACGGUACCGUAAGAAUAAGGAUCGGCUAACUCCGUG
Molecule: ribosomal RNA, 477 nt
Filed under: uncultured bacterium
Lineage: Bacteria
Description: bacterial SSU rRNA
Rfam family: Bacterial small subunit ribosomal RNA
Source: RNAcentral